RNAcentral lists this ribosomal RNA (367 nucleotides) under uncultured organism. Its description in RNAcentral is "bacterial SSU rRNA". It matches the Rfam family "Bacterial small subunit ribosomal RNA", at positions 526 to 896 of the family's 1533-position model. The record is from RNAcentral.
CGGAGGAUCCAAGCGUUAUCCGGAAUCAUUGGGUUUAAAGGGUCCGUAGGCGGUUUUAUAAGUCAGUGGUGAAAUCUGGUCGCUCAACGAUCAAACGGCCAUUGAUACUGUAGAACUUGAAUUACUUGGAAGUAACUAGAAUAUGUAGUGUAGCGGUGAAAUGCUUAGAGAUUACAUGGAAUACCAAUUGCGAAGGCAGGUUACUACAAGUGGAUUGACGCUGAUGGACGAAAGCGUGGGGAGCGAACAGGAUUAGAUACCCUGGUAGUCCAACGCCGUAAACGAUGGAUACUAGCUGUUCGGAAGCAAUCUGAGUGGCUAAGCGAAAGUGAUAAGUAUCCCACCUGGGGAUACGAACGCAAGUUUG